AAUCUUGCGCAAUGGGCGAAAGCCUGACGCAGCGACGCCGCGUGGGGGACGAAGGCCCUCGGGUUGUAAACCCCUUUCGGCAGGGACGAAGCGAUCGUGACGGUACCUGCAGAAGAAGCCCCGGCUAACUACGUGCCAGCAGCCGCGGUAAUACGUAGGGUCCGAGCGUUAUCCGGAAUCAUUGGGCGUAAAGAGCUCGUAGGCGGUUCAGCAAGUCGGCUGUGAAAGUCCGAGGCUCAACCUCGGAAUUGCAGUCGAUACUGCUGUGACUCGAGUCCGGUAGAGGAGAAUGGAAUUCCCGGUGUAGCGGUGAAAUGCGCAGAUAUCGGGAGGAACACCAGUAGCGAAGGCGGUUCUCUGGGCCGGCACUGACGCUGAGGAGCGAAAGCGUGGGGAGCAAA
This 401-nucleotide ribosomal RNA is filed under the name uncultured bacterium. Its description in RNAcentral is "bacterial SSU rRNA". It matches the Rfam family "Bacterial small subunit ribosomal RNA", at positions 360 to 772 of the family's 1533-position model. The record is from RNAcentral.